UAUACCUCUCUCUCCUCUUCACAACCUAUAACCCCCAAAUCUCGAAGCCGACGCGACAUAGGGUCCCAAAAUCAAGUGUAUAGAUGUCGCAGUUGAUUACUCGUCGUCGGAGUGUGUCCAAUGCAGCUCCUGCAUUAUCAGCAUCUAGUGCUCCAGGCGUGAGUGCUCCGUUGAUUGGGGAGCCUACACCCCUUACGGAGGCUACUCCUACAACGUCCCAGGUGCCCGUAUCAUCAACGUCAUCAGUGUCAGUUGAGCCCCUCAGUGCACGGCGGCCUCACCGGCGCCGCCGCGAGCCGGAGCCUUCUGAUCACACUUCCUCGUCUUCCAGAGUCGAGGAUGGGGCCUCCCAACCAGGUA
Malus domestica (apple) is the source of this 360-nucleotide non-coding RNA. The record is from RefSeq and is a predicted model, not a curated record. NCBI's taxonomy places the organism in Eukaryota, Viridiplantae, Streptophyta, Magnoliopsida, Rosales, Rosaceae.